This 253-nucleotide ribosomal RNA is filed under the name Phaeophyscia sp. CH100059. Its description in RNAcentral is "partial 18S ribosomal RNA". The record is from RNAcentral. Lineage: Eukaryota; Fungi; Ascomycota; Lecanoromycetes; Caliciales; Physciaceae.
UUCCGUAGGUUGAGUCGUUUGCCUACCGAUGCCCCUCGCACCGACGUUAAAGAAAUGCGCGGUCUGCACCUCGUGUGCAGGCAACACCGUUCAAGUGCCGAGAGUGCCGAGCGCCCGCCCGUCACUAUCAGCAGCCAGUGCCCCUUUGGGCAUGGUUCACAGAUCAUUCGACGGUGACCCAUUGUGGCUGAGACAUGACCGGUCCUGGCCUAUAGACGGCCUGGGAGUCGCGGAACCUGCGGAAGGAUCAUUA